This is a long non-coding RNA of Columba livia (rock pigeon), 6229 nucleotides long. RefSeq lists it as uncharacterized. NCBI's taxonomy places the organism in Eukaryota, Metazoa, Chordata, Aves, Columbiformes, Columbidae. The record is from RefSeq and is a predicted model, not a curated record. The transcript is spliced from 4 exons.
CUGAUGCAGUUAGGAGGGAAAACGCCUAAUUAGAGUGCAUUUCCAUUUUCUGGAGGGAAGGUGUCACUGUCACAGGCCUGCCCAUGCCCUGAGCGCCCUUGUGCACAGGAGGCUUGGAACGCUGCCGGACGAGGUAGAAGGCCCUGCCGAGGUUUAUCACGCCAUGGGAAUAUAUGGCACAUGGACGAAAGCCGAUUACAGUGAAAGCAAUUCUGCCUGCAAGGGACCUGCUGAAACAAGUCCAGCCUCCCCCUUGUGAGCGACUGGAGCAAUCUGGCUAAGGGAAGAGGAGGAGGACGUGAGCUAGCGAAACGCGGAGGGCUAGAGCUGAUGAUGAAACAGAGGCACGGCCCUGCGUGAGAAGGCUCGUUUUCCCUCACGGGCAGAACAAGAGACACACACACAGACACAGCCGCACACGCACACCGCCACCAACCCGGUGACACCCGCCCCGGCGACACCCGCCCCGGCCCCCUCCGGCCGCCUUUUCCCUCCCCAUCCACCCUGCGGCCGCCCCCGGCGCGGCGGGAGCGGGUUCGCCCCGCGGGCAGGGAGCCCGGGGGUUGGGAUGGGGACGGGGGGAGAACCAAGGGAGAAAAAGAGCAACUGGGGGGAAAGGUGCUGCGCUGGAAUGUAAAUGCACCCACGCUAUGGCAAUAUGCUUGACAGUACAGCGCGGUUAAUGAAGCCUUUAAUUUGGAGGGGGGGGGGGGGAGGAGGAGGAGAAUAGAAAGAGGAAGGUCCUACGGAAAUAUCUUCCGGGAUUAAAACGGGAGAGAAGAGAGCUCCUCUUUAUAUUUACACGUACCUAGACGUGUCUCUGUAGCAAAGCAGUCCACAAGGACCACAGAACUGCAGCACAGACACACACACACACCGAAAAAAACCAACCCAACCCCAAGCUCACCGAACUGAAAAUGGAUCUUUUAAAAAGUAAAUAUGUGACAAAAAAACUUUGUGAUUUUCUUUUCUCAUGCCCCUUACUUCUAAACCAGCUGCACAGCCAAGCUCAGGCUGCUUGGCCCUUCUAACUAUCUUGGCACCGAGUCAAAAGCUGAUAAGCAUUUGGGCGAGACAGCUCAACUGCUGUGCUGGAAGAAAAACAGCUGCCAUGAUUGCUGUUUGAUUGAGAGCGCUUACACACACUCACAAAAAAACAUAUCGGACUGCAAAGACGGGCCACAAAUGCCUGAGGAUUCAGCUUCAGAGGAUCAACACACAUUUCCUUAAAAAAAAAAAAAAAGAAAGUUUUAUAUGGUUUUUCCUCCAUCCCUCCCUCCCCUUUUUUAAAGAAAACGUACUGCGUCGACUUGCUUUUCUUCUUCCCAUCCCCCCUCCAUAACCUCAAGCAAACUCAAGGAAUUGUGCCAAAAGUCCCGUUGCUAGUUACCAAGUGCAUUUUUUUAAACGUCCCUUUGAUACUUCUUUCCCUCGUGCUUGCCAUGGAAUAUACAAGGGCAAAAGGAGGGAAACGAGGGGGAGAAGGAUAUUUUUUCUCUUUGCCGAGUCCAACAUUUGGCUUUUUCCAUUUGUGGCAGAUCACUGUAACGCUAUUGUAAAACAACUUCCUGCCCCUUUUGGCUCACGUUCCAGAAGCUGCUAGGCUAAGUUCACAGCACAAACUUUUCUCCCCCUUGCCGAAGAAGAGAGACGAAAAAAAUAAUAAUAAUAAAAAAAUCCUGCAAAUUAUUUUUCCCCCUUUUCUGGCUAAUGGACUCACAAGGUGAAUUUAUUGCAGCUCUUUAAGAAUGUUACACAAGAGACGUCGGUAUCCCAGCUGGAUAAUUCAUAAGCUGAAAAGUUGCAGGUACAAAUUACGGCUGUGAAAAAAGAACACCGCCUUCAGUUCAAUACUUCACAGAAUUUGUGUUCCAUGAAGUGUCUUCCUGCGAAUCAUUUGGGUUUUUUCUUCCCGUCUGUCACGUUAUACUUACUAAAGUUGUCACACGUGCAUUAUUAGAUUUCUUACAUUUUGAAGGGAUGCCUAAAUUUACAUAUUCAGCUUUAACAGUAUUCUGCUACUUUUCAGUUUCAGUAAACAAAAUGUCACACACACAUGUGAUUCUGCAUUUCCUUUGUCCAGAAAGACGUAUUCCCACAGACAGAGAUGGACAUUCGAGCAUUCCACGAUCUAUACGCACGCGUUUUCGCAUUUGACAGGAAUGGCAGAGGGGGACUGGACUAGAUGAUCUUUCGAGGUCCCUUCCAAUCCCUAACAUUCUGUGAUUGUGUGUAACACACAGAAAGGAUGUUAGAAAAUGUGAAGGGGAAGCUGCCCCGCUCCUGGACACAGGCCGUGAGGCAGGCACGGCAUUCGGCAGCGUGCCUUUCAAAUCCAAGUUCAAACUCACCCCACCAGCAGCAGCUGCACUGGUGGAGCGACGGCCCUGGGACUCCAAAGCAGAAGCAGCAGCAGCAGCAAGGCCUCGGAGCAUCCCCCUCUGAAAGAAACCAUUCCCGUUCAUAUAGAGAGAAAAGACCUUCACAUUAUAUUACCUUUGCAUUGCAUUGCAUGUAUCAUGGCUUUUAAAAAGAGAGGGUCGUUUCGGUGUUGGCAGCAAACCAGAAGUUUCUUGCAAAAGAUCUCUCUCUUUUUUUUUUUAAACAAUUUUGCUUUUCAAAAGAUGAAUCUGCAUCCAUGCAGGUUAAAUGUAUGCCAUAAUUUAAUAAAGGUUAUUUUAAUGACGUUUAUUGCAACCUGACAAAACCAAUACACACACUCUAAUAAGGAAAACAUGUAGAUUUUUUACUAUGCUAUCUACACUAAUAAAGUACAGUGUGAAUGAUAACACUGGCAUCACAAAAAAAAGAGGGGGGGGGAGAGAGAAUUGUGAAAACUGCUUCCAGCCUUCUUCAGUGACCUAUGUUUUUCAGUUGUUUAAAAACACUUCCUUUUCAGAAUAGUGAAAAUUCCCAGGGGAUAUCAGUGACUAAUCCACAGAAAUGUCAAGAUUCGAAUUUAACCGUUUUUUUUCCUAGGGCAUAAGUGCGUUUUACUACAGAUUUGAGAUGGGUACUAAAAGCACUGAAAAUGGAUAAGUUCAACUCCUAAUUUUGUAGUCCCAGAAAAUGUCAUCAACGGAAAUAUAAACCAAUUAAUUUUUCUUGGUCCACCAAAAAAUUCAAGAAAACUGCAGUGUUUUUUUUUCUAGUGCUAAGAAGUAAUUUAAUAAGAAAAUCGAGCAUGGAAAAAAAGGCGGACAUUUUGCCUCUUGGCAAUGGGACAGUGAGACUUGAUUCAAGAUCGAGACCUCUCCCUGACUCAAUUAGAAAUAUAGCUGAUUUUCAAAACUUUUGAAGCCAAAUACCAAAAUUCAAAGUUGUCAUCUGAAGCCCAUAUGACUUCUGACAUUUAUUUGUAAGAGAACUAAACAAUUCCCUCUUCCCCCAACAACUGUUUUAACAGAAUCACAUACUUCAUCUCUUCUCCAUGUAUAUCCCCACACACAUACUUCUGUGUGUUAUGGUGGACCUAUACAUGAGAUAGCUAUGUAUGCAUUUAUGGUCUCAUGUUACAACAGCCCAGUAAGUAUGAAUACUAUUAGAGUAAGACUGUAAAUUAAUAUUCAGUUUACAUAAUAUGGCUCAAUGGAAGUCAGAAUAUUUUUAUAAUGCUGCCUAAAGGUUAACAACAAAGGGUUACAUUUGAAUUAUAACAGGAAAGUCAUGGACGACAUGGUUCAGGACUGAUUUUUUUCUCGUUAUACAAAUAAACACAGCAUUUAGAUGUUAAUAUAUCUAAAAUGCAGAGUAAGAACUUUACAAAAGAAGCUGAUCACAACAGCACUAUCGCAGCAUUUAUCCCUUAACAUUAUCAUAGCGCCUCAUCCCUACAGUCGGAAAACAAAUGCAACUAACUAACUGCUCUGUGACCACCUGAAUGUGAGACCUCCAUUCCUCUACUAGACCUGAAACGAUCUGAGAGACUGACAAUAAAGAUCAGGGAUUUCGUCUAAUAAAGCACCGCACCCGCACACCAAAAUACUGUUCCAGCUCUCAGCUGGCAGUGCUCCGAGUUUUCAGCACAGAGGGGAAAGCAAAAUAGAUACUUACGAUUCGUUGUGGGGACUUGCAAGACACAACUUUGCUUUAAUGCUCUACUUACAUGCUUGUAUAACAAAUGGGUACCUCAGACAUGCAGGAGAAGAUUUUUAUAGGAAUAUCAGAUUUACUGUAUUAUUGUUCAGUUUUUACUGGCCAGCUAAUGGCCAAAACCUCUAUCGGUCUAAGAAAUGUAUUGGAAAUCUGUUGGAAAAAGGACAUUUUGUGCUGGAACUACUACACUAUUCAAGUCUUUGCCUUUCCCUGACAGAGAACGCCAUUUUGAGGCUGUCACGCAUUUUUCUUUCCAAAGCGGAUAACGCCAGUGGAAAACAUAGGGAUGGUAUCCUCAUACCGCAGAAAAAUAUAGCAAAGCAGUUUCACAGAGCAGUAGCAUUUUUAUUUUUACAGGUGCAACCGAAGCCUGUCUUGCAUUUUCUGCUCACCCUAAUAUUAAUUUUAAAACCACACGCACAUAAAUGGAUGAUAUGCAGCUAUCUGUAUCCAUGUAGCGUUUUUAAACUUUCACAUACAAUUCAAGUAUUCAAUGGGAAGAGGCAGACAAAGAGAUUUUACCAGAAGACAAAUGGGGAAAACAAGCAUUUUGUUCAAAUCAAUUUUGCUCAGUUACACUGGGCCUAAAUAUAUCUUUGCCAGUCCGGUGUUUAGAAAAAUGUGUAUCUUCAAAAAAUAAAGAAUAGACUCAGUAAUUUCCACAGUGCAUCUGAAGCCUGACCCAACCCAUGUUCUGUGAGACUAUUUUUUAAUUUUUCAUUUUUUCUCUCCUUAGAUAAACUGACAUAUUGCAAAUCAUUGUCCAAAGGAUCAAGGAAAUCAACAGGGUAACAGAAACGGCUCAAUGCUGAAAGUGGAAUAGACAGGUGUACAACAGUUGCUUAACAGAGGAGGCUGUUAAAUAUGAAUGGUUCUUAUUUAGUUUUCACUGCAGGGGUCACAUUUGGAAAAAAAUGUUGAUAAAGCAAAUUUAGAAAAACAAUACAAGCUUUCCUAUUUCUAAUUUCAGUAACAUCUUUGUCUAGGAAAUGAGAAGAGUCUUAACCACCAUUAAGCUUUACCAGGUACAAUAGCUGAAGAAAUCGCUGCUAGGAAUAGUAAUGCUGAGGAAUCAAGUUCAUGCAGUAAAAUAGACCAUUCUCUGCCCAAUCUAUUAAUCCAAACUUUGCUAGGGAUAAAGCUCUUUUAAAAAGUGAAACAAAAGAAGAAAAAAAAAGUCCUGAGAGUUUUGAGUAAGGAACGUCCAAAGCAAAAAAUCUCCAAAAGGCCCCACUUAAUAAGAAGCUUUCAGAAGAGGCACUUCUACUGCCACACCUUAACCUUAGGUUAUCAUCUUGAAAUAUUUGACAUGCACUCAUAAAAAUUAGUUUUCCUUUCAAGCAGACACUAUAUUUAUUGUAAGAUUACAAUAUCUUUUUGAACAAAAAUAAUAUUUUGAAAUGUUAAUAUUGGCUGAAUAUUUUCUUCACUUUUAUUUUUUCCUUUUUUUCUCUAAGCAGCUGUCCACAUUUUAAAAUUCUCUUACAGCUCAUCACCCCCAAACAAAGCACAACUGUAUCAAUGCUUUAAGGGACAAAAAAUGACACAACUGACAUUGCCUUCACACUCUCUUUAGUCUUUAAAAUCCUGCAGAUUAACAGAAAUGCAAUGCUACUACUUUCACAUGGUGAAAGGGGAUAGACCUUGUAUUUUCAUUAGUAAACACACUAAUUAUAACUAAUUAACACAACUGAGGAAUAUACAUAUGCUAACCUGACAAUAUUAUUUUUAUUGGAUAACAAGGAUAGUAAGUAUAAAUUUCCCCUCUGGCUCACAUUAAAAUCUAAAGCUGGUGGACUUUGGGAAUCUCAAGUAACAAAUAAAGGACACAGAAGAGUUGUUAUCAAUAUUGCUGUAAUCGCGUGGCUUGCUGCUCAUGUACCAACUCUCUGCUGUUCAUGUUUGGCUCAGCUUUGGAUGCAAGUUUUUAUUAAAGGGAAAGAUCUUUGAGUUGUUUGGCCCUUUCUUUUGUUCAAAUAGUUUGUUUUGCUGUAUUACAGAAUGCCCUUUUAAAUCUAAGAGUAGGCGACUGGAAGUGUUUGUUUAAACAAUACAACUUUGAGAAAAAUAAGGGAAAAGCAUAACAUUUUACCUUAAAUGACUGGAAUGCAAAAAAAAAAAAAAAAAAAACAAA